UUGACAGUCCAAACACCACCUGCCUCCGUGAGAUACACGGGGUGAGGUCUUCGCCGCUUGCGGUCAUAUUUCGGAGCACUGAUAUAUGGGGAGAGGAGACCUGCGAUUCGUUCGCUUGAUGACGUGGUACGUUGGACAU
Molecule: non-coding RNA, 139 nt
Filed under: unclassified sequences
Description: RAGATH-24 RNA
Rfam family: RAGATH-24 RNA
About the family: Environmental. Nearby to self-cleaving ribozyme genes
Source: Rfam by way of RNAcentral